RNAcentral lists this long non-coding RNA (701 nucleotides) under Pan troglodytes (chimpanzee). Its description in RNAcentral is "long non-coding RNA NONPTRT006752". Lineage: Eukaryota; Metazoa; Chordata; Mammalia; Primates; Hominidae. The record is from RNAcentral.
GAAAUUCUUGGCUGGUAACCGCGAAACCGACUGGAGCAGGAGCUGGGAGAACUGGAGAAAACUGCUCUAAUCUCACUUGACUCCAGCUAGGAGCUGAUGCUGCAUCGUAAUAACAUUUGCAGAGCGCUUUCACAGGCCCUGGAGUGACUUGUCUGAGAUUCCUCCAGAACUGAGCCCUUUGUUGGAACCAUACCCCAGCCCAUGGUCCCAUGACUAGGUGGAUAGUACUCCUUGUACCUCCUGCAACCCAGAACCCUGGCUGACCACUUUGAAGGAGGAUGCUCCAGCAGGUCAAUGGCCACAAUCCGGGGUCUGAUGGCCAAGCCAGGGAGUACCUCAGAGAAGACCUGCAGGAGUUCCUGGGUGGGGAGGUCCUGCUGUACAAGCUGGAUGACCUCACCAGGGUGAAUCCUGUGACACUAGAGACAGUCCUGAGGUGCCUGCAGGCCCGGUACAUGGCAGACACAUUCUACACCAAUGCUGGCUGCACCCUGGUAGCCUUGAACCCCUUCAAGCCUGUUCCUCAGCUCUACUCGCCUGAGCUAAUGAGAGAGUACCAUGCUGCGCCUCAGCCCCAGGUAAGGCUCUGCCGCUGCCUGUGGCCUCAGGGCUCCUCUACCUCCCGCUAAACCUCUUUGCAGUUACCCCUGUCCUUAUUCAUCUAUUCACCAGCAAUGUGGUCAUUCAGAGUCUGCUAGUGC